This 110-nucleotide ribosomal RNA is filed under the name Neogale vison (American mink). Lineage: Eukaryota; Metazoa; Chordata; Mammalia; Carnivora; Mustelidae. The record is from RNAcentral.
GUCUACGGCCAUACCACCCUGAACGCGCCUGAUCUCGUCUGAUCUCGGAAGCUAAGCAGGGUCGGGCCUGGUUAGUACUUGGAUGGGAGAAGACGAAAUAAUCAUAAUUA